RNAcentral lists this ribosomal RNA (327 nucleotides) under uncultured eukaryote. RNAcentral's name for it is "partial 18S ribosomal RNA". It matches the Rfam family "Eukaryotic small subunit ribosomal RNA", at positions 1470 to 1796 of the family's 1831-position model. The record is from RNAcentral.
CCCUUAGAUGUUCUGGGCUGCACGCGCGCUACACUGAUGCGCUCAACGAGUUUAUAACCUUGUCCGGCAGGAUUGGGUAAUCUUUUUAAAACGCAUCGUGAUGGGGAUAGAUUAUUGCAAUUAUUAAUCUUCAACGAGGAAUUCCUAGUAAGCGCGAGUCAUCAGCUCGUGCUGAUUACGUCCCUGCCCUUUGUACACACCGCCCGUCGCACCUACCGAUUGAACGUUCCGGUGAGACCUUGGGAUUUGGUCUUUGAUACUUUAUUGUGUCGUUGACCGAAAAACUUGAGCAAACCUUAACGUUUAGAGGAAGGUGAAGUCGUAACA